AAAGACAUCAAAAUAUUGUAACUGGAAGUUACAAUCGAUAAUAAAUUAAAGUAAGUAUAUCAUAUAUUUUCUUAUAAAAAAAAAAGGCUUAAUAGAUACUCACAUUGCAUGAUAAAAGCAGGUUCAAAUUCGAUUCCAGGUGCAAAAUAUGAACAUUAAGGUUCAAUUCCAUAUUAAAAAAAGUGUCUUUUCUUUGAUUCAAUAUUCAAGUCCUUUCAAAAUAACAAGCAUGUCCACAAUCCACUGAGUCAUGUCUUUGCAAUGACUCCAAAAAAUUCACAAAAAGAUAUAACUGCAAUGAAUAAUAAUAAAAUUAUUAUAUUGAACAAGUCAAAUUUAAAUAUCAAGAAAGUAGAAAAAUUAAUGAAAAAAUCACAGAUGUAAAAUUUAUACUAGAAACUUCUCAAUCACGACCAGGAGGUC
Molecule: long non-coding RNA, 423 nt
Filed under: Trifolium pratense (red clover)
Lineage: Eukaryota; Viridiplantae; Streptophyta; Magnoliopsida; Fabales; Fabaceae
Description: long non-coding RNA (TPRA_LNC007130)
Source: RNAcentral